AUGUGGUCGGACUUUUGGCACCAGAAGCAUUGGGUUUGGCAUCGAGAAGGAGGGUUGGAACCUAAUAUUCCUUUUUUCUUAUCAGUUGAAGGGUUUGGGACAGGCAUCGGGGAGGUCCUAUUCGGUGCUUGGGUUAGGCCAGGCUGAUUAGGAGGAUUGAAAAGGGUCUAGAUUGUGGAAGAUAAUUUUGGUUAGGUUGGGCUCCUGGGGCCAGUGGUCGAGGGUCGAUGGGCCUCACCAUAGGUAGUCUUAAGAAACUAUCUACAUCUUGAGCCAACUAGUAUGCUUGGUUAAGAGUGGUAAUCUCUCGGAGGAGUAGUUCUUUCUGGAUCUCC
RNAcentral lists this long non-coding RNA (335 nucleotides) under Phoenix dactylifera (date palm). RNAcentral's name for it is "long non-coding RNA (PDAC_LNC008600)". The record is from RNAcentral. Lineage: Eukaryota; Viridiplantae; Streptophyta; Magnoliopsida; Arecales; Arecaceae.